Molecule: small nucleolar RNA, 128 nt
Organism: Pipistrellus kuhlii (Kuhl's pipistrelle)
Lineage: Eukaryota; Metazoa; Chordata; Mammalia; Chiroptera; Vespertilionidae
Product: small nucleolar RNA SNORA11
Exons: 1
Source: RefSeq, a predicted model, not a curated record
UGGAUGUAGAGAGAGCAGAGUGCCUGAAGAGUGGCUCUUCUGUGAAUGACACAUCCAACAGCAACGUGGGCCUACUCCUCACAGGUGGCAGACACCAUGGCCUUCCUGUGAUAUUGUGUCCUAUAUAU